This 333-nucleotide long non-coding RNA is filed under the name Homo sapiens (human). RNAcentral describes it as "HSALNT0371512". The record is from RNAcentral. Lineage: Eukaryota; Metazoa; Chordata; Mammalia; Primates; Hominidae.
GCAGACGGCGAAGCUCACGUUCUCAGGAAAGGGUGGUGGGGGCCCGGGGUGCGUGAGAGGCGCCUGGGCGCAGGCGCAGACGACGGGGGUCGAGUUGGGCAGGCGGUAGGGGCGACCUGGGAGAAGGUCCCUGCUGCAGACGUGGAAAUGCAUCUUGUUCCAGUACAUCACAUUCCAGGGAGCAAAGAAUUCUUUUACAAAGCCGGGUGUCAUCAUUUUCUUAGAAGAAGAACCAUUGCAACAGGGCUCAAAGUUGACUCUGCUGGAAAGGCAAGGGACAGGGAAAUGAUGAUAACAUAAGCAGCCGGCUGUGUCAUUCCUUCCAUUUGUAUC